Molecule: unclassified non-coding RNA, 283 nt
Filed under: uncultured fungus
Lineage: Eukaryota; Fungi
Description: sequence contains ITS1
Rfam family: 5.8S ribosomal RNA (bases 1-106)
Source: RNAcentral
UUACUGCGAUAAGCAGUGUGACCUGCAGAAAUCAGCGAAACACUCGAUCUUUGAACGCAAAAGGCACUCCCUAGCUCUGCUAGGGAGUAUGUCCAGUUCAGUGCCUGAUCUUUUUGCUAUCCCCAAUGGAGUAGCGUGAAUGGGCCCCGUGCCGUAUGGUACAGUGCCCGAACUCUACGAAGUGGAUCUUUGUUGGUGAACAUCAUACAAAGGGAACAACCACUCAGCAAUGACACAUCUGUACAAAGGUCUGAACUUGGGCAAGGCUACCCGCUGAGUUUAA